GUGUCAGUUCACUGAAAUAAAUAACAGGCAGAAAAAAAUAUACAUAAAUACACACUACAGAACAUGCAGGUUUCCAAUUAAAUUUGGUUUAAAAAAAAAAAAACAGCCAUACAAGCAAAUUAUAACACAAACACAAUAAUUGUUAAUAAUAUAAAGAGGUCAGCUCUGGGAUGAAAAUAAUUACCAGUAAACAUAACAAGUAAUGAGGAUAUUUGGUACCAAAGAAUGUGCAGGAUACCAAAUAAAUCGAGGUAUAAAAUCACAUUUUCAAGCCAUUUCGAACAAUAAGAAAAGUGGUAAUAAUUUAGAGUAAAGCUCUAGAGUAGAAUAGACCAUUGACCUUAUUCACCGCGCCUCCAUCUUGAAAUCCAAAUCGAGGCUAGGGGGUACACUCUAAACCGGAAGUUCAUUGACAGAGCGCAGCAGCGGGCGUCUGUCAUCAUGGCGAUACCUGUGUGGACAUCAAAUCUUUCAUGUCUUCCCAAAAUAACAGUGGACAAUGUUGAAAAAUGGGCCAAUAAGGACUGCAUGAUUCCCCAGGCUGUUUUGCUGAAAGGAUACAGCAACUGGAUCGAGGGAUAUGUGCACGACGUGGAAGGUAAUGCACAGACGAUCACUGCUUUUUUUCUGAAAUCAACAUUAGUUAACGUUACUUUUAAAGUUAGCUUGUUAGCUAGAUAAAACAGGACGUGACAACAUUACAAGCUGAUGCUAAGCAUUGUUAAGAUAUAUUAACCACACCAGACUGACUGUUAUUUUGAGUGUUAACAAUAAAUAAUUUUACAGACAGUCAAGAGGAGCGAGACAGUCAGUGUGAGAGCUAAGUCUUUUCACUCAAUGCGAAAAAACGAGGCACCUUACAACAUUCAGGUAUCAUGACUGUGGAUAAACUGCUCAGUUUGCAGAGUGGUGGCACUGCUAGAACAAAUACGCUAGCUAAACGUUCAACAGUUCAUCUUGAUCGUUCAUAUCAACAGUUCAUCUUUCCCUGCUAGACUAAAAAUAACAUGUUAUGUGCAGUUGAUGUGAUCUUUAGCUAAAAGUGUAUUGGAACCAUCAGUCAAAAUAGCUUGUUUCCAAUGUGUCACUACAAAGCAAGGCAGGGCGCUACUGUUGGUUAUUAAAAUGAAUAAAUAUUAAGUAUAAGUUAAUUUGUUUACAGGCAUGGGUUGCUCAUUUCACAUAGCGAUGUUACGUAGGGUUGGAGAAGGUACUAUUCAGGUCUCACAGGUAACACAGAUGCUAAAAACGAAUCAGUAAUGUCGUCUACUGAGAUGCACAAACCCAGUAAAAUGGAUGUUACUGUUUAUACGUAGUUGUGUGCUUAACAAGGUCUAGAUUAGCAAUGGUUAUCAUAAACAGGCACAGAUCACGUCUUGUUUAUAUUUUGCUGUAAGACAUGGCUAACCACGGCAGGACGUUAGCUGACCAGGCUAGUAAAAAGAGCAACAACUUGCUUAACGUUACCCCCGAAUCAGCCCUUCGCUUGUUAUAACUUAAAAAGGACCGGUUUGUGGCUAAUCAAGUCAUGUCUAUUUAGCCAGAAGGUUUAGCUUGACAGUUAACGUAAAUAUGGCUAACGUUAGCAUCGUAAACUAAUGUUAACAUCUUACCUUUAAAUGGCGACCGGGAUCUCUUCUUAUUUUAUGAAUCCAUUCACGGCCAAGUACAGGAUCUUUGGGGAAACGAUGGAAGGUUUGACCUGUAUAGGAUUUCUUUCUCUUUGAAGACGUACGUUUGGGAACACAAUAAUGCGGCGGCAUUGUAGGUAACGUUAUGACAGAAGUCUACAGAUGGGCGGGCCAACGUUACUUCCGUACCCCACAGCCUCGUUUUGGUUUAAAGGAAGUGCCGUAGGUUGAAAAGGCGAAUUAUAAUGGCAUUGCUGACCUGGAGCACAAGAUUUACACCGUGCUGCAAUAAGAUCUGUGUCUCUUGUAUCUGUGAUAAACGAAACUAGACAUACAUAUUUAUAUAAAAAUACAGAGGUAAAAACAGUACUAGAACAGACCAUUAUAACUGCAAUGCUGACCUGUGGCACAAGGAUUUACAAGUGUAGAUGUAUUGAUUGUAUAAGUUAGUGAACUGUUGUAAGCUGUUGUAACCAAUGAAACAAAAUAUUAAUUGUUUGUAAUAUGAGCUGAAACUGAAGGUGCAAGCAGGAGAAUAGGAAACCCUGUUCAAGCGGUUGCCGGGGAGAGAAAGAUUUAGUAUGUCUGUCUUUUGAGAAACAGUACACAGGUUAGAGACACACACACAUAGUCUGACAGGCAAGACAGAAACCAGAAGGGGACAAGAAGAUGUUUGCAUUCACCCUUAUAAGGAAUAGAACUGGAACUGGACCAAUAGCACACUUGCUUUGUGAACUUAACGACUCUAUCUUUUGGGCGUAGUGGAAGUAUAAAAUGAUCUGUUGACUGUUGAUCCUUAGACAUUGUGCGGCACCCUUGUCUCCAAAAGCUUUUGUAAUAAACGGAAUAUGCGGUACGGUAAUUGACCUGACUCCUGGUGUUUUAUUCUCCUUUCCAACAAACCAACUCGGGGAAGUGUUAGACUUCAACACAAGCUAUAUUUAACAAUAGAAUAACAGUUAAGCACUGUGAUGGAAUGAAAAAUGCUGAUGUUAAAACAAAAUAGAAUAUUUGGUACCUGGUAAUGUGCAAUAUCAAGUAUCAGAGGUAUGAAAUAGUAUUUCCAAGCUAUUAUUAAUAGAAUAACAUUUAAGCACACUGAUGAAAUGAAAGUAGAAUUUUGGUACUAGUUAAUGUGCAAUAUCAAGUAUGAAAUAGGAUUUACAAACUAUAAUAGAAUCGUUAAGACGGAAUGAAAUAAGUCAAUACUAAAGUUAAAAUACAAAAGAAAACAGGGUGGAUUUGGUGACUGUAGUCUGGCACUUCUGGCUUCUUGAUGUUACUUACUGCAGGAUAAAAAAAAAGUGUUCCAGUUCAGUGAUGCUGGGGUGUCAGUAGUAAGCCUAGGUUUAAGGGGUCGGCUGUGGGUCCUUCUCAGCUGUGCGGCGCCUUUUUCUGCCUUCACGGUCAGAUGCUCCUUUCAGGUAACGCACCUACAGGGGUUCCCAGAAUAAAAGAAUAAACUAGUCAGUCCUGGUCCCUCAAAUACUAAACUACGACAUUUAUAUCUAGGUCUACUACAUGUACAGGUAUUAAACUAACAACCACAGGUGUUGUUUGCAAGUUGUACCUGAUUGCCCAGUGAGAGCAAACGUCUUCAACAUUGUCCCUACUUGCUUCACCUGCUCUUGAAGUGAGCCGUGGUCAUCCGAAGCUACAAAAUCAAAGGCAUAUGGUAAUUCUGAACCUACAUUACACACAAAGAAGUAAAAUUUAAGAAAGAGUGCACAUUCUCGGUUUGCAGCCGAGUGUGAAGCGGUGGGGAUGAAAAUCAGUACCUCCAAAUCCAAGGCCAUGGUCCUCAGUCGGAAAAGGGUGCUUGCCCACUUCAGGUUGGUGGAGAGUGCCUGCCUCAAGUGGAGGAGUUUAAGUAUCUAGGGGUCCUGUUCACGAGUGAGGGAAGGAUGGAACGGGAGAUUGACAGACGGAUCGGUGCAGCUUCUGCAGUAAUGCGGUCGAUGUAUCAGUCUGUCGUGGUGAAGAAAGAGCUGAGCCGCAAGGCGAAGCUCUCGAUUUACCAGUCAAUCUACGUUCCUACUCUCACCUAUGGUCAUGAGCUUUGGGUCAUGACCGAAAGGACAAGAUCCCGGAUACAGGCGGCCGAAAUGAGCUUUCUCCGCAGGGUGGCUGGGCGAUCCCUUAGAGAUAGGGUGAGAAGCUCGGUCACCCGGGAGGAGCUCAGAGUAGAGCCGCUGCUCCUCCACAUCGAGAGGGGUCAGCUGAGGUGGCUUGGGCAUCUGUUUCGGAUGCCUCCGGAACGCCUUCCUGGGAAGGUUUUCCGGUCCCGUCCC
This is a long non-coding RNA of Esox lucius (northern pike), 3922 nucleotides long. The record is from Ensembl. Lineage: Eukaryota; Metazoa; Chordata; Actinopteri; Esociformes; Esocidae.